Molecule: RNA transcript, 3061 nt
Organism: Hevea brasiliensis (rubber tree)
Lineage: Eukaryota; Viridiplantae; Streptophyta; Magnoliopsida; Malpighiales; Euphorbiaceae
Gene name: pentatricopeptide repeat-containing protein At1g02060, chloroplastic
Exons: 4
Source: RefSeq, a predicted model, not a curated record
CCCAAACUUUGGAGAAGGCAACAUAAGGUCCCAGGUUGGGCAUUUUGUAUUGGAUCUUAAUUCAUGAUCGCCAUUACCAACUCUCCAAGUCGGGCAUUGCCAUUCUUAGCUAGGCAAUUUUCCAAGCUCAUCUCUCAAAAGCUCCAAGUAGCUCCCAGGCACUACUCCUCUCAAAGCAUCAGGAAUCACGGAGAUGAAGAAUUGGAUGCUAAUGUUAAACCAAAGGCUUCUACAAAAACCAUUAAGGCUAAAUCCAUGGCCAGACUCAUCAACUCCAAACCCUGGUCUGCUGAGCUUGAGUCUUCGCUCUCAUCUAUCUCUCCCUCAUUCUCAAAAACUACUGUCCUCCAAGUUCUUCGUUUAAUCAGGACCCCAUCAAAAGCCCUUCAAUUCUUCAAUUGGGUUUCACAAAUGGGGUUCACUCACAACGACCAAUCUUAUUUCUUGAUGUUAGAAAUCUUGGGUCGUGCUCGGAAUCUCAAUGUAGCGCGUAAUUUCCUCUUCUCCAUCAAGAGAAAGUCCAAUGGGAUGGUUAAGCUAGAGGAUAGAUUUUUUAAUAGCUUAAUUAGGAGUUAUGGUAGAGCUGGGUUGUUUCAAGAGUCUGUAAAGCUUUUUGCUUCGAUGAAAUCUGUUGGAGUUUCUCCAUCUGUGGUCACGUUUAAUAGUCUUUUGCUAAUUUUGCUAAAACGUGGACGGACCAAUAUGGCCCAGAGUGUGUUUGAUGAAAUGCUCAGCACAUAUGGUGUUACGCCUGACACUUAUACUUUCAACAUUCUGAUUAGAGGUUUCUGUAAGAAUUCAAUGGUCGAUGAGGGGUUUAGGUAUUUCAAGGAAAUGUCUCGUUUUAAUUGUGAUCCUGAUAUUGUAACUUAUAAUACGCUUGUUGAUGGGUUGUGUAGAGCAGGGAAGGUUAAGAUUGCGCAUAAUGUCGUUAAGGGGAUGGUUAAGAAAAGUGCAGAUUUGAACCCUGAUGUUGUUACUUACACCACUUUGGUUAGAGGGUAUUGUAUGAAGCAAGAUAUUGAUGAGGCUUUGGUUGUUUUUCAAGAGAUGGCGAAUAAAGGAUUAAAACCAAAUGAAGUUACUUAUAACACUCUUAUUAAGGGUCUUUGUGAAGCGCAGAGGAUUGAUAAGAUCAAAGAUAUUUUGGAGGGAGCCUUGGGUGUUGGAGGAUUUACUCCUGAUACCUGUACUUUUAAUACAUUGAUGAAUGCACAUUGCAAUGCAGGGAAUUUGAAUGAAGCCCUGAAGACGUUUGAGAAGAUGAUGGAGUGGAAGGUCCAACCAGAUUCUGCUACAUAUAGUGUUCUGAUUAGAAAUUUGUGUCAAAGAGGGGACUUUGAGAGAGCAGAGGAGUUGUUUGAUGAGCUAUUGGACAAGGAUAUUUUAUUAAGAGAUGAUGGGUGUACACCUUUGGUUGCAGCAUACAAAUCCAUGUUUGAGUUUUUGUGUAAAAAUGGGAAGACUAACAAGGCAGAAAGAGUUUUCAGGCAGCUAAUGAAAAGGGGAACACAAGAUCCUCCUUCUUACAAGACACUGAUAAUGGGGCACUGUAGUGAAGGUACAUGUGAAGCUGGUUAUGAGCUCUUGGUCUUGAUGUUAAGAAGAGAAUUUGUGCCUGAUUUUGAGACCUAUCAGUCAUUGAUUGAUGGUCUCUUGCAGAAAGGUGAACCUCUUCUUGCCUACCAGACUCUAGAGAAGAUGAUAAAGAGCUCCCAUGUCCCUAAAACUUCUACUUUCCAUUCUAUAUUAGCAGGACUUCUGGAAAAGGGACGUGCGCAUGAAUCAGCUAGAUUUAUAUUAUUGAUGUUAGAGGGAAAAAUUAGACAAAAUGUGAAACUAUCAACACAUACUAUGAGAUUACUCUUUAGUAGUGGACUACGAGAUAAAGCAUUUCAGAUUGUUGGGUUACUUUAUGAUAAUGGGUAUGUUGUUGGCAUGGAAGAAUUGAUUGUUUUCCUUUCCCAAAAUAGAAAGUUACUAGAGGCGCACAAAAUGGUGCUGUUUUGUUUGGAGAAACAUCAGAAUGUUGAUAGUGGUAUAUGUGAUGCAGUAAUUGAAGGUCUAUGCAAAAUGAAAAAACUUUCGGAAGCAUUUAAGUUGUACUAUGAAUUGGUGGAGAAAGGCAAUCAUCAACAGCUUAGCUGCCUAGAAGAUCUGAGAGUUGCCUUAGAAGCUGGGGGAAGAUCAGAAGAAGUAAAGUUUCUAUCUAAGAGGAUGCCAAAUAAGUGGCAUUCAGACAAACCUCCAGAAACCAGCUACAGGGUGCAGAGACCUUAGAGCUUAAGGUCUGAUUGCAUCAUUCAACUGAGUUGAGGAAACCUGUUUUUGAUUAAUUGAGUUUGAACUCUUUGGCCAUCUCUCUGUUACCGACCUGCAUCUGCAAAUAUUCUUGUUUUCUUGUUAUUUAAAUUUUUGCUGUAGUAUUGUGUCCUCAAGUGUUAAAGAUUGUUGUUUUUCAAAGAGGGCCAAAUCCACUCCAAAACUAAAGCUUCUUAGGUAUGUUGCAAAGAACAGCUGUGCAAUCUACUCAAGGCAACAUACGAGCAUGUAAACGAACAUCCUUCAUCAACUGAUGUGAGUUUGGAAUCCUGCAAUGCAUCUACAGAGAAUCCUUAUUGCCUUUUGCUGUGCUCUUGACAACUUAUGACAAAGCACUGAUGGAGCUAGAUUUUCUUUCCCAAAUUCCUUGGCAUCAUUUAAACCUUCCGAAAGAGUGCUUCCUCAUGCCAAGGCUGCCAUUGACGACUGACACCCCUAUUCAGAAUAAUCUCACUGAACUCUGGGCUUUGAUGCAUUUUUGCUUGCCUUGAGAGUUUGGACAUGUGGCAGUUCCUUUCCACAUUCAAAGAAGCUGGAGAUCCUCAGGAGGCUAUCCUCUUAUAUGGUUUGAGCAAGUAGUAUGAGAACUGGCGUCACCUAGAAUUAUGCUGUGUAAUCUUGUAAUUGGCCAUUUAGACAAAAAAAAAAUUCAAAACUUAGGAGUAACUAUUAUUGUAGGCAAAACUUUUAAUUUUGUGUAUUAUAACUGAAUUUUAGUUAAUUAUUAUAAUUGUAGUUA